RNAcentral lists this transfer RNA (88 nucleotides) under Thermococci archaeon. RNAcentral's name for it is "tRNA-Ser". It matches the Rfam family "tRNA". Rfam says of the family: Transfer RNA (tRNA) molecules are approximately 80 nucleotides in length. Their secondary structure includes four short double-helical elements and three loops (D, anti-codon, and T loops). Lineage: Archaea; Methanobacteriati; Methanobacteriota; Thermococci. The record is from RNAcentral.
GCCGGGGUGGCCGAGCUGGAUUAAGGCGCGGGACUCGAGAUCCCGUUCCCUUAAGGGAGCCAGGGUUCAAAUCCCUGCCCCGGCGCCA